UGUUGGGGCUCAUCACCGGCGGCUGCAUGAUCUACUGGUUCACCGGGGCGUCGAUGCAGGCGGUGACGACCGGCGCCUACCGGGCCGUCGAGUUCAUCAAAGCCAACAUCAAGCUGGACGGAAUCGUCGAAAAGGCCUCGGUCGCAGACAGUAAGAAGGUCGUCGAGAUCUGCACGCAAUACGCGCAGAAGGGGAUGUUCAACAUCUUCCUGGCCGUCUUCUUCGGCACGCUCGGGUUCGCCUUCCUCGAGCCCUAUUACUU
RNAcentral lists this unclassified non-coding RNA (262 nucleotides) under uncultured bacterium. RNAcentral's name for it is "contains 16S-23S intergenic spacer region". The record is from RNAcentral.